AAUAGAGUCUUGUGAUGUCUUGCUUAAGGGCCAUCCAACCUAGAGUCUACAAC
Molecule: microRNA precursor, 53 nt
Organism: Homo sapiens (human)
Lineage: Eukaryota; Metazoa; Chordata; Mammalia; Primates; Hominidae
Gene: MIR924
Product: microRNA 924
Source: Ensembl